AGGACGAACGCUGGCGGCGUGCUUAACGACAUGCAAGUCGAGCGGAAAGGCCCUUCGGGGUACUCGAGCGGCGAACGGGUGAGUAACACGUGAGUAAUCUGCCCCUAGCUCUGGGAUAGCUCCGGGAAACCGGGAUUAAUACUGGAUACGACCACCUUAGACAUCUUUUGUGGUGGAAAGAAUUUCGGCUAGGGAUGAGCUCGCGGCCUAUCAGCUUGUUGGUGGGGUAACGGCCUACCAAGGCGACGACGGGUAGCCGGCCUGAGAGGGCGACCGGCCACACUGGGACUGAGACACGGCCCAGACUCCUACGGGAGGCAGCAGUGGGAAUAUGCGCAAUGGGCGAAAGCCUGACGCAGCGACGCCGCGUGGGGGAUGAAGGCCUUCGGGUUGUAAACCCUUUCAGCAGGGACGAAGCGAAAGUGACGGUACCUGCAGAAGAAGCGCCGGCUAACUACGUGCCAGCAGCCGC
RNAcentral lists this ribosomal RNA (472 nucleotides) under uncultured bacterium. RNAcentral describes it as "SSU rRNA". It matches the Rfam family "Bacterial small subunit ribosomal RNA", at positions 26 to 518 of the family's 1533-position model. The record is from RNAcentral.